Molecule: ribosomal RNA, 221 nt
Filed under: uncultured Advenella sp.
Lineage: Bacteria; Pseudomonadati; Pseudomonadota; Betaproteobacteria; Burkholderiales; Alcaligenaceae
Description: partial 16S ribosomal RNA
Rfam family: Bacterial small subunit ribosomal RNA
Source: RNAcentral
CCGCGGUAAUACGUAGGGGGCAAGCGUUAUUUGGAAUUAUUGGGCGUAAAGCGUGCGCAGGCGGUUUGGAAAGAAGGAUGUGAAAUCCCAGGGCUCAACCUUGGAGCUGCAUUUUUAACUACCGGACUAGAGUAUGUCAGAGGGGAGUAGAAUUCCGCGUGUAGCGGUGAAAUGCGUAGAUAUAUGGAGGAAUACCAAUGGCGAAGGCAGCCCUCUGGGAU